GAAAAAAUUAACGUCUCCUCCUAUUAUUAAGGUCAUGUUGUUCAAAAUCCCAUACCAAUUUUGACCUCCUUUAUUUCCUACUCCACACUUCAAAAUGCAUAUAUUUUGUUUUGAAGAACGAUUCUGAAACUUCUGCGCAUUUUCUUAGUCUUGAAUGGCUAAAGAGAAAAGAUUGCUUUUUUUGGAAAGGCUUCUGGAACAGAUCAGUGG
RNAcentral lists this unclassified non-coding RNA (210 nucleotides) under Conocephalum conicum. Lineage: Eukaryota; Viridiplantae; Streptophyta; Marchantiopsida; Marchantiales; Conocephalaceae. The record is from RNAcentral.